GUUUUCUCUCUGUUCUCUCGUUCUAUUUUCUCUCUUUGUGUCAGUAAUGUACUGAAGUCUUUUUCAGCCCCCCUCAUAUUUCUACCCCCUCUUUUUUCUUUCUUUCUCUCUCCCCCUGUCUUUCCAUCUGUCUCUCUCUCCAUAAUUACUGUCGCUCUCUGAUAGGAUUGUUUUUCUCAGGUGAGCGCGCCCAGUUCUCAUCGCCGUGGGAACAGCUCGACACUAAAUUAUAACUUCUGCUCCAUAACAGAGCCGUGCGAAAGAACCACUGUGUUAAAAACAGAAAUAGAAGCAAGGAGAGGCAGAGAAAAUGGCAGAAUGAACAUCUUAAUUGUUUUUGUUUGUUUGUUUGCCAGUGUUGUGGGUAAUUAGCACAUUGUGAGAGAGGCGUGAAUAAGUGUGGAAAACUCGUCAGGCGGAAAGAAGUGGUGUUCAUUUGUGGCGUUCAGCUCCUGCUGCUGUAAACACACACACCUGAACACACACCUGCAGAAACACACACGCCACAUGCAUCUUUCAAUUCAAAGUUAUUUUUUCACUUAAGAUUAUUAUGCAAAUUAGACUUUAUAGUUAUAUGAAAUAAACAUUGAGUCUAUUUACGUAAAUACACAUUUCUAUUGUGAACAAUUCAUCCGUGUGGGUUAUUCUGUAGAGUGUAUUGUUUAGUAGCUUUGCCUUUAAUCAUAAAGUCUGGUUCACUCUUGCAUCUCAUUCUGGUCAAUAAGUUUUUUCUAUGUGACAUUUAAAGUAAAAAUUAAGCAGUUGCGCUGCUGUUUGCAUCUAAAUUUCAAAUAAAAUGAGUUUUUAUUCUGUAGAAUAUGAUUCUAUUGUGCUCUGAAUGUGUUGGCAAGACUGGAUGUUGUACCUGUAGGUGAUCGGAUCAGAUAUGGACAGAGGCUGCCGUAUUGAUCGAUUCACUCGUGUGUCAUUGAGUCUGCUGUGAGACGGGAAACCCUGCAGUCAGAGAAAUGAGCCUCUGAACACCAACUGCUGCGAUUCUGCUUUCCAUUCACUGCUGUCUGUGUGAGCAUAUAUACAUCGCCAAGCUACGGGACAUGUUACACUCGAGAAGAGAUGAUGCCGACCCCUCCGAGGACCCCAGAUGAUGCCAACCCUGAAACAACAUGCAAAACUAUCAAAUUUUCCUAUUUUACCAGCUGACAGAUGAAUAGAGUUUCUCUGGACACACAACAUUUAACAUCAUCAACAACAACAAAAUACGGGUCGUAAACUCACUGUGGGAGCAUCUGCACACGGAACGAGACGUGAUGGUCUAAUCUGAAACCCUAACACAGAAGUCUCAGGUGAUGCUUAAAACAAGAUCUCCAGUGACCUCUUGAGAUUUUCCAGUGAUUUCAUCACUAAUCUCUCGCACAAGGCUCUCCCACAAAGUGAUUUUGACCGAUCAAUUUAAUGCAGCAUUGGGAAGCACUCUACGCUUUUAAAAACAAAGGGUCUUUAUUGAUAUUGAUGGUUCCUUUCCAUUGCACAAGCGGUUCUUUAUGAUCUUCACACUGCACUCUUUCUAAACAGGUGUUUUAACAUUGAUGCCAUGAAAGAACCAUUUUCAGUUCCCCAAAGAACAGAACCAAUUUUUUCUUAGUUUGAAGAACAUUUAAAAAAUCUAAAGAACCUUUUCUCACUUCGAAGAACCUUUUUGACAUCAGUGGAAUCUUUGAAUUCCAACAAUUGCCAAACAUUUGACGGCAGCCAUUGACAUUGAGCCAUUGAAGUAUGGAAAAAAUACAAUGGAAGUCAAUGGCUACUGUCAACUGUUUGAUUUCAUUUUUGGGUGAGCUCCCAUUUUAAAACACACAAAAAAAUAAAGGAUUGCACUGAUAUUGUUCAUCAGGAUACCUCUUCUCUUGUCACUGAAAAUGUCUGGAUUUUUAAGUCUUCUUGCAGACUCUCAUUUUAAAUGGUGUUUAGUUAUCUACAGCACUUUAAAAACAUACGUAACUGGAAACUAGCAAGCUAUACUAUUUGUAAACAAAAAUGUGUCACGAAAUUCAGUGCAAGUCCAUGAAAGGUUCUUUUGGGAACCAAAAUGAUUCUCCCAAGGCACUGCUGUGAAAACCUCCUUUCAGAACCUGUUUUUAAGAGUUUGGUUAAACCCUCAAGCCUUUAUUUUAUAUUAAACUGCAGGAUGUCCUUUAAGCAGAAUAAAGUGGACCUGAAGCGUUUCGAGUUCAUCAGAUAGAACUGCUCUCAAACUCCUGAAACAAACAGAGUGUGAAAACAGCCAAACGCUCGUCACAAGUCAUUGAGUUUUUCUUGCUCUGGAAAAUGUCUUUGCCCUGGACUGAACCGAGGCGUGUCGUCCCCACGGUGCUGCGGCUCAACACUUUCCCGUAUCUGCUGCUAGCAACAUCCGGGUCAUGGCUUUGAUUCCAGGGAAUGCAUGAACCAGUCAACCUCGAACGCAAUGUAAAGAUGAAAGCAUCUGAUAAUGCAUACGCGAGAAGGCGUUCCUUUACCGUUGUCCAGGAUGCAUUAGCGUUGACAUUACAAAUGUGAUGUGCUCGCAUGUGUUUCUGACUAAUUAUUGCACCCACUAAUUUACUCCACCGUUUAUUUGCAUGCUGUCUUUGUUGUUUAGUGCUCGAUUCGCUGAAUGAAUUUCGCAGAUCAGGUACUGACACAACAGACGCCCACAAAAUUAGUGCUGAUCACUGUUUGCACACUGAACACAGUUUUCUCUUUAUUCCUGUUUA
Long non-coding RNA from Cyprinus carpio carpio, 2714 nucleotides. The record is from Ensembl. NCBI's taxonomy places the organism in Eukaryota, Metazoa, Chordata, Actinopteri, Cypriniformes, Cyprinidae.